CUCCCCACUGUACCGCCCCAUAUAAACUUCACCCCAGUUAGUCUCGCGCUCUCUCGCCAUUGUUCGAGGUAGCCUGGCAGCUCCUGGCCCCAAUAAAGCCUUGCUCGGGUUUCGGCUGGUUUUCUUUCAGUGUUACCCUCAUGUGGAGGACCCUAGAGGAUGCCAUGUAUAGUAGAAAACCCACUGCACUGCCGGCCCUUAGAGAAGCGACUGAUAAUGCUUGUGCAGCGAUCUCAAUGGCCAGGGCUCCCCAAGCAGCAGUUCACUGCACUAAUAACCGUCUGGAAGCUCAUGGUUACCACUCUGAGCAGCUCUCGUAAUUGCAGAGGCCAAAGGCCUACUGAAGACAUUCCCUGCAUAUCAGAUGACAGCAACCAAACCGGUCUAUUUGUGGGUGCAUCUGCAGCGUGAGCAAAGUCAGGACAGACAGAUGCGUCCCUAGGCGGCUGGUGUACAUCACCAUGCAGCUGUAACCUCCUGCUUGCCAUAAAGAUGCCAAUCUGUCAACUCUGCACAGGUAAGAUGAAAUCUCUUAACAUCUUGAUUUGCAUUUCUUUGAUUAGAGCAUGGUUAAUUAUCUUUAAUGUUUAUUAGAAAUUUCAGUUCUCUUGCUUUCUGAUGUUGAAUUACCCGUUUUUGCCCACUUAUCUCAGUGCUCUUAUCUUUUCCAGUCUUUCUGUAGAAUUUUUUCCGUGCUUUUCCUGUCCAUUGUAAUAUAUUCAGUUUUUGUUAUCUCUUUAUUUCUACCCUUUUAGGUUUCCUGCUCCACUUUUAACUUGCAGAGGUUUUAUCCACGCAGUUAGAGUCAUGUCUACUUCCAAUGCUGUAAUUUGUUACAGAAGAAAUCACUGCGAGGAGUAGAUGUCACGGCAAUUUGUUGUUACAGAACUUAAGGUGCACUUGAGAUAAAUAUGUCACUUGUUAAGAUGGAGACAAUGAUACCUACAGCACAGGACUGAGAUCAGCAUUAUGACACCUAAUAGGGUAGAAAUGGCAGGGAAAGUGCGGCCUGACUUUCCUGUUUUCUUUCUUCGCCCUUUCCUAGAGAACAGGUGAAACACAGCUCUGGUACUAGUUUGCACUCUGACCAGCAAUGCAGGGAGGUCCUUUUCCCCUACAGCUUGCCAGUAUCUGUUGCUAUUUGUGUUUUUUUAUGACAGUCGAUCCAACUAGGGAAAGAAGAAAUCACAGAGUUGUUUUCACUUGCAUUACCCUAAUAGCUAAAGGUGAUGAACAUUUUUUUCAUAUGCUAUUGGCUAUUUGUAC
This 1266-nucleotide long non-coding RNA is filed under the name Fukomys damarensis (Damara mole-rat). Its description in RNAcentral is "lncRNA (ENSFDAG00000028469.1)". Lineage: Eukaryota; Metazoa; Chordata; Mammalia; Rodentia; Bathyergidae. The record is from RNAcentral.